CCCAACUCCUCAAGCCCAUCAUCGUCCUCAUCCACAACCCCACGACCCGCCUCGCACCUUCUCCCUCCCGGCCGCCGCGCGCGUCCCAGCACUGGCCGCCGUGCGCCUCCCACCUCCCGGCCGCCGCGCGCCUCCCACCUCCCGGCCGCCGCGCGCCUCCACCUUCUGUCCACUGGCGCGCCUCCACCUCCCGUCCGCCGCCACAGCUCGACCUCCCGACCACCGCGCGCGUCCAUCCUCGACUGUCGGCACGCCUCCACCUCCUACAUGUCGCCAUGGACCUCCAUCCCCGGUGCGCCGGACCCCUCUUCCCCACCGCGCCACCGCCCCCCUCUGCCUCACCGGGUCGCACCGCGUCCCCCCUCCUCCGCCUCACCGCGCCUUCCCCAAGCGCGACGCCGUCGACACAAUUGCAGGGCCAACUUGCCGCUGACCAUGCAAUCUUCCUCAAGGAGCUCGUGUCCAACGAGACUGUAAGGAACAACUACUCGAGUUCUGAACUUCUUACUCAGUAAUGCUAGUAUUGAGGGAAAAUGGGCUGAAAUGCAUUGCAAAUUAUCUCUCCGAGACCCUGGCAAUUAUUCAGUCCACGCCGCCACACAGUCAAACUGCAUCCGCCAUCUCAGUGCGACCUCUUAUACCUUUGCAACCCUGUGUCCCGCCAUCCACCGAGUAGUCCAACCUCAGGGCUAUGUUCUGAGAAAAUCCCCUGAAGCGAAAUUGUUGCCGAUAGCCAUUGACCAUGAAGCUUCUCUGCCCUGCUGCUACUACUACAUGAGGUGAUCGUAGUGCUCAGUUAUUUUCGUGUGAUGCCGCUGCUUUAGCCAACUCUGAAUGCAUAGGUGCCGAGUGUGCUGCAUUAGCCAUUUUUAUUAUUAACACGUACAUCUAGCUUGUCUUGAAGCUUCAUGAUGUGGAAAAAACAUUGGGGAAACUUCAUGUUCUACAUAGAUGGAGUUAUGUUCGGCUGCACUUUGUGUCAUUUAGGUUGUUCUCUAGCUAGUAUCUAACAAAAACGAAUCAGUCACUUGAGCAUUCUAGAAGAAAAAACUGAAGCUGAAAUAUCACUGAUGUUUUGUCUGUGCUUACGUAUGUAGACAUGAUUUGUAUGACAAAGAAGCUCUGCUAAGUUAAAUAGAUUCAGUCGCAUAUAUGUUUGUAUGGAAGUACAAGCAUCGGUCAGGACUUCUUUUACAAUGUUGUUUAUGCUGAGUUCCACUACAAAAAUGUAUACUUUUUCUCUGAAAAAAGUUACUAAUAUAAAGUUUCCCUUCCUGUCUAUUAUAAUCAGUACUGAUGGACAUAUGAGGUCGUGUGGCCACACUUUUUUUGAAGGCGUAUCUCCAUGCAAUCGCACCUUUUUCCCUGGUCCUUUGAGAGGUGACUGAUCUGUUGUCUAUGCUGCUCUUUCAGUAACUGAACUGUUUUCAUGUGGAACUAUUGCAAACCAAACAGGCCCUAAGCUUGGUGCAUAUCACGAAUAAUGGCAGAACUAGGAUAUUGUGCACAUUACAGUGUUGAGAAAGAGAAGUAGCUGGUUGAACACUCCAGCAAAGAAGCGCUGCAGGGGCGGUCGCCGGCGGAGGGCGGAGUGUCGGCAACAACCACCUCUGCCCCAUCCUGCUCCUCCUCAUCGCGUGACCGUCUCCUUGGCCGCCCUGCACCUCGACGUCAAGCACUGCCCUCCCAUGAGAGAUCGAACAGACAAGGCGCUCCUGCCAUAUUCUUCCCGUGGAUCCAGCUCCUGUUCCCCGCCAACAGUAGGAGACAUGAGGUCACCUCUGGCGCUGCUGGUGGCGUGAAGGCCGUCAAAUGGUAAAUUUCCUACCCUUGUAACCUCAGGUACUACUACAAAGCAGAAAGGAUCUAUGUAAGUUAGUUAAUAGCACCAUGAUGUGCCUAUUGUGCUGCAAGACUGCUAGUUCUUCAACUAAAAAUAAAUAUACAUUUCGCUUGUCAUGCUUUCUGGAUGUGGUAUUACAUGAUACAGUCCCAAAAAAGUAUAAAUUUCUUCUAUUGUCAGUUCAAUUUUCUCUAGUAUGUAUGUUCUGAAGAUGAUGAGAGAAUGGUCUGGUGGAGAUGAUGCAUGUUUGUUAGCUUUUUAUCAUGAUAUAUAAAAAGAUGCUGGUAGCUCUAGUACCUAUACUACAACAGCUCAUUGAAAAAAAUCAGUUCAAUACAUACUUGGAAAAAGUUCAAUACUAAGUGUUCUCUGCCUAUCCUUACAUUAGCUAGUCUUCACCAUGUCCAGAUAGUGCCUAGAAUAAGUUAACUCAUGCAUUUCCAUAAAACUAUGUACUGAUAAAUCAGAACUCGUGCAUUUCCAUAAAAUUCUGUAAGUAUCGUGUGUGUGUUGUUACAAAUCUGAAAUAUUUUUCCAAUCAUACUAUUGAUGUAAUCACCUAAAAAUGUUGAAGAAAAACUCUGCAAGUUUGGUGCGUGUGCUGCUACAAAUCUAAACUUCUUCUCCAGUCAUUCUAGUACUGAUGAAGAUCGAGUUGACAGAAAUAAUGUAGUCAAUUCCUGAGACCCUUACUAAUCCUUCUACAUAUAGAAGUUGUGCCUCAUAGCCAUACAUGACUUUUGUCUUUGUUCCCUGCUUGUUUUUGUAAAAUUCUUUGAACUGAUUUAGGUGAUAUAUUUGGACCCUUGCCUCGUCAGUACAACAGCACGCUCCACAGCCGGUCAGGAGAAGAGUUGCAUGCAGGCCACCCUCUGCUCCGUCCUCGAUCCCGCGCAGUCAUCUCCCUCUCAUCCUCUCUCUGCUCCAUGUGUGUGUGUGCAGGGAGUGGAAGAAGAUAGUGCAGGGGAGUGGGAGGUCCUUCCAUGGUGAAUUCAUAGGCAUCUUCCAUGGAGAUUGUGAACUCUCUCGAUUAUUGCUUGAGGAUUUAUGUUGGUCUGUCCACUGUAGUUCCUGUAUACUCUUUUUCUAGUGUUCCUCUUUUGAUGUUGUUGCAGGUGUUUAAUAACCCACUGAUAUGAUUUUGGGAAACAAGCUUCAGUGCAGAGAAGCUUCGGUACGAGAAAAAAUGGGUCAUCACUUCAUCCAUAUGCAACCUCCUGUGUGGUCGUACAUUUUUAUUUGGAGCUACUCGCUGUGUGGUCAUCCAUAUGUGUAUUGUGUUGUCAGGUCGUGUGCAAGUUUGUUACAAGUUCAUUUAUAUGUUGGUAACCACUAUUAUUGCUGCUAGCUAUCGAUUUGAAUGUUGUAUUACUGUAGCCCCUUCGCUGGCUUAAUCUCCUACUAUUUGCUAGCUUGGCAUUGUAAAAACAU
Molecule: long non-coding RNA, 3274 nt
Organism: Triticum dicoccoides
Lineage: Eukaryota; Viridiplantae; Streptophyta; Magnoliopsida; Poales; Poaceae
Exons: 3
Source: RefSeq, a predicted model, not a curated record